This 253-nucleotide ribosomal RNA is filed under the name uncultured bacterium. RNAcentral describes it as "partial 16S ribosomal RNA". It matches the Rfam family "Bacterial small subunit ribosomal RNA", at positions 524 to 776 of the family's 1533-position model. The record is from RNAcentral.
CACGUAGGGCGCAAGCGUUGUCCGGAAUUAUUGGGCGUAAAGAGCUCGUAGGCGGUCUGUUGCGUCCGCUGUGAAAACUCGGGGCUUAACCCCGAGCCUGCAGUGGAUACGGGCAGACUAGAGGUAGGUAGGGGAGAAUGGAAUUCCCGGUGUAGCGGUGAGAUGCGCAGAUAUCGGGAGGAACACCGGUGGCGAAGGCGGUUCUCUGGGCCGUUACUGACGCUGAGGAGCGAAAGCGUGGGGAGCGAACAGG